GUAGGGAAUCUUCGGCAAUGGACGAAAGUCUGACCGAGCAACGCCGCGUGAGUGAAGAAGGUUUUCGGAUCGUAAAGCUCUGUUGUAAGUCAAGAACGUGUGUGAGAGUGGAAAGUUCACACAGUGACGGUAGCUUACCAGAAAGGGACGGCUAACUACGUGCCAGCAGCCGCGGUAAUACGUAGGUCCCGAGCGUUGUCCGGAUUUAUUGGGCGUAAAGGGAGCGCAGGCGGUCAGGAAAGUCUGGAGUAAAAGGCUAUGGCUCAACCAUAGUGUGCUCUGGAAACUGUCUGACUUGAGUGCAGAAGGGGAGAGUGGAAUUCCAUGUGUAGCGGUGAAAUGCGUAGAUAUAUGGAGGAACACCAGUGGCGAAAGCGGCUCUCUGGUCUGUCACUGACGCUGAGGCUCGAAAGCGUGGGUAGCGAACAGGA
This 431-nucleotide ribosomal RNA is filed under the name uncultured bacterium. Its description in RNAcentral is "bacterial SSU rRNA". It matches the Rfam family "Bacterial small subunit ribosomal RNA", at positions 354 to 777 of the family's 1533-position model. The record is from RNAcentral.